UGGGGCGUCGUCAAGCGGUAAGACCCAAGGUUUUGAUCCUUGUAUUCGGGGGUUCGAAUCCCUCCGCCCCAGCCA
Molecule: transfer RNA, 75 nt
Filed under: Candidatus Electrothrix gigas
Lineage: Bacteria; Pseudomonadati; Thermodesulfobacteriota; Desulfobulbia; Desulfobulbales; Desulfobulbaceae
Also listed under: 1 other name
Description: tRNA-Gln
Rfam family: tRNA
About the family: Transfer RNA (tRNA) molecules are approximately 80 nucleotides in length. Their secondary structure includes four short double-helical elements and three loops (D, anti-codon, and T loops).
Source: RNAcentral